ACUUGGAAUUUUAACGUACCAGCGCGCGUCGCUGUUUUCUCAGCGUGGCAAUUUAAAUUGCACGUCAACGUUCGAAAUUUAUUUAAACGCCCGGCUCCGAUAACACGUACUAGUGGUAUUAUUCUACGAUAAUUGUCGUCGCGGCACGUAGGAAACGCUCAAAAGUAUCCAAUAUACCCAGAGCGAAAACAUUAUUUUAAUCAUUUUAACUCGUGAAAAUCUUUUUUACAGUAUUAUAACACCGUUUAUUAUACCAAAAACAUGAAGAAAAUCAAAAUUCAACAAUAUUUAAAUCCACUGGUCUCAACUCAUCUCCAACAAAAAUACCACGUAGGAUAAAGCAAAUGAUAACUUUUUCGUUGUUAAUUUACCUAUACUGAGCAUAUUUUUAUAACGUGAAAUAUUUUUUGCUUGUUUGUAAACAUUUACAGUGAAUAUUUACAUGAAAAAUGAGAAAAAUAAUUUUAAAAAGGUCAUAUAUAAAUAUCCUACCAUAAAAAUAACGCUAAAUAAAGACAAUUUAAUUAA
Long non-coding RNA from Dalotia coriaria, 528 nucleotides. RefSeq lists it as uncharacterized. The transcript is spliced from 2 exons. The record is from RefSeq and is a predicted model, not a curated record. Lineage: Eukaryota; Metazoa; Arthropoda; Insecta; Coleoptera; Staphylinidae.